GAUGAACGCUGGCGGCGUGCCUAAUACGUGCAAGUCGAGCGAACAGACGAGGAGCUUGCUCCUCUGACGUUAGCGGCGGACGGGUGAGUAACACGUGGAUAACCUACCUAUAAGACUGGGAUAACUUCGGGAAACCGGAGCUAAUACCGGAUAAUAUAUUGAACCGCAUGGUUCAAUAGUGAAAGACGGUUUUGCUGUCACUUAUAGAUGGAUCCGCGCCGCAUUAGCUAGUUGGUAAGGUAACGGCUUACCAAGGCAACGAUGCGUAGCCGACCUGAGAGGGUGAUCGGCCACACUGGAACUGAGACACGGUCCAGACUCCUACGGGAGGCAGCAGUAGGGAAUCUUCCGCAAAGGGCGAAAGCCUGACGGAGCAACGCCGCGUGAGUGAUGAAGGUCUUCGGAUCGUAAAACUCUGUUAUUAGGGAAGAACAAAUGUGUAAGUAACUAUGCACGUCUUGACGGUACCUAAUCAGAAAGCCACGGCUAACUACGUG
Molecule: ribosomal RNA, 497 nt
Filed under: uncultured bacterium
Lineage: Bacteria
Description: partial 16S ribosomal RNA
Rfam family: Bacterial small subunit ribosomal RNA
Source: RNAcentral